GACGAACGCUGGCGGCAUGCCUAACACAUGCAAGUUGAGCGCUGACGGCUGGUACUUGUACCCACUGGAUGAGCAGCGAACGGGUGAGUAACGCGUGGGCAAUCUACCUCAGAGCGGUGGACACCAUUUGGAAACGAAUGCUACUACCGCAUAAAAAAUUUAAACACAAGUUUUACGUUUGAAAGAUGCAAUUGCAUCACUUAAAGAUGAUCCAGCGCUGUAUUGGCUAGUUGGUGAGGUAAAGUCGCACCAAGGCGAGGAUACGUAGCCGACCAGAGAGGGUGAGCGGCCAAGCUGGGACGGGAACACGGCCCACACUCCUACGAGAGGCACACGUAGGGGAUCUUCGGCGAUGGACGAAAGGCUGAACGAGCAACGCCGGGUGAGUGAAUGAGGUUGUCGGGUCGUGAAACUGUGUUGGUAGAGAAGAUCGUAGAGGAGAGUUGAAAGCUCAUCUAGUGACGGUAACUACCCAGAAAGGGACGGCUAACUACGUG
RNAcentral lists this ribosomal RNA (497 nucleotides) under uncultured bacterium. RNAcentral's name for it is "partial 16S ribosomal RNA". It matches the Rfam family "Bacterial small subunit ribosomal RNA", at positions 28 to 507 of the family's 1533-position model. The record is from RNAcentral.